UACAGAGGUCUCAAGCGUUGUUCGGAUUCAUUGGGCGUAAAGGGUGCGUAGGUGGCGCUGUAAGUCGGGCGUGAAAUUUCGAGGCUUAACCUCGAAACUGCAUUCGAUACUGCGGUGCUUGAGGACUGGAGAGGAGACUGGAAUUCAUGGUGUAGCAGUGAAAUGCGUAGAGAUCAUGAGGAAGACCAGUGGCGAAGGCGGGUCUCUGGACAGUUCCUGACACUGAGGCACGAAGGCCAGGGGAGCAAACGGG
This 253-nucleotide ribosomal RNA is filed under the name uncultured bacterium. RNAcentral describes it as "partial 16S ribosomal RNA". It matches the Rfam family "Bacterial small subunit ribosomal RNA", at positions 524 to 776 of the family's 1533-position model. The record is from RNAcentral.